Molecule: ribosomal RNA, 460 nt
Filed under: uncultured bacterium
Lineage: Bacteria
Description: partial 16S ribosomal RNA
Rfam family: Bacterial small subunit ribosomal RNA
Source: RNAcentral
CCUACGGGGGGCUGCAGUGAGGAAUAUUGGUCAAUGGACGAGAGUCUGAACCAGCCAAGUAGCGUGAAGGAUGACUGCACUAUGGGUUGUAAACUUCUUUUAUCAAGGAAUAAAACGAGGCACGUGUGCCUUUUUGCAUGUACUUUAUGAAUAAGGAUCGGCUAACUCCGUGCCAGCAGCCGCGGUAAUACGGAGGAUCCGAGCGUUAUCCGGAUUUAUUGGGUUUAAAGGGAGCGGAGAGGGGUUGUUAAGUCAGUUGUGAAAGGCUGCGGCUCAACCGUAAAAUUGCAAUUGAUACUGGCAGUCUUGAGUACAGGUGAGGUAUGCGGAAUGCGUGGUGUAGCGGUGAAAUGCAUAGAUAUCACGAAGAACCCCGAUUGCGAAGGCAGCUUACUAAACUGUGACUGACAUUGAUGCACGAAAGUGUGGGUAUCAAACAGGAUUAGAUACCCCAGUAGUC